UAAAAUCGUGUGGGCUAGUUGUAUCCUCCCUGACAAGCCCAGUUUCAACUUUGAAGCAUGACAGCUGUUAGGUGGUUGAUGUUGAAUUGUCGACGAUUCCGUCUGUCGUUGUACUUGAGUAUUUGAGGAAUCAUAUAGAGCCGUGUAGUCUUAAGUCUGUCGUAGUUUAUCGAAUAGCCAACAAAAAAUAUUUUAACUAAUGUUUGAAGCAGAAGUAUGAUAUUUUUUUUUAAAAAGAAAUAUACUUUUAUUUGAGGAGGAGUAAAACGGAAUUUUGUGUGUGGAUUGUUAUGUUCGCUAUACUUCACACUGUCUCAACCAUGGAAUAUCGUGUUGAAUAGCUAAUUUUACAGUUAAUGACCUAGGUUGGUGAGGAGAGCCAUCGAAAGACUAUUUGAGAAACACUCGGUUUCGGUUGUUGAGGCUCACGUGGUAAUAAGAUAACGUUGUACACUCAAUUACGUAUUUUACCCCUUGUGCCCAGUGAUGCAUCGUGUUAAAGGGCCGUCCGCCUUGUUUGGGGUUGAACGAAAACCCAAGCCUCAAGAACAAAAACGAUUAAUUCAAUCAAACUAUUCUGUGAGAUGGGAGGAAUUCGUGGCACACGGGUCCAAUGUCAGCUGUUUAGCUCUUGGAAAGAAAUCUGGCCGGGUCAUUGUCACUGGGGGCGAAGACAAAAAGGUCAAUCUAUGGGCAGUAGGAAAACCAAAUUGUAUAAUGAGCCUUACUGGUCACAUAACAGCAGUAGAAUGUGUCAAGUUUAAUCAUUCAGAAGAUGUGGUUUGUGCUGGCUCGGUGUCUGGAGCACUGAAGGUUUGGGAUUUGGAAGCAGCAAAAAUUCUUAGAACAUUGACUGGACACAAAUCAAGUGUAAAAUGUUUGGACUUCCAUCCUUAUGGUGACUUUAUUGCAUUUGGCUCUUUAGACACCAACAUAAAGCUAUGGGACAUAAGAAGAAAAGGUUGUAUCUACACAUAUAAGGGACACAGUAAGCCAGUUAAUAACUUAAAGUUUAGUCCUGAUGGAAGAUGGAUUGCAUCUGCUGGAGAUGAUGGAACAGUUAAGUUGUGGGACCUACCUUCUGGUAAAAUGUUAACAGAAUUCAGGGGACACACAGGACCUGUCACUGAUGUAGAGUUCCAUCCCAAUGAGUUUCUUUUAGCUAGUGGAAGCACAGAUAGAUCAGUUAGGUUUUGGGAUUUGGAGAAUUUCCAACAAGUUUCAUCAAGUGAUGGAGACUGUGGUCCAAUUAGUUGUAUAUACUUCAGUCCUGAUGGAGAAUGUGUUUUUGGUGGAUCUCAAGAUGUGUUGAAAGUGUAUGGCUGGGAACCAUUUCGUACUUUUGACACCCUGGUGAUGGGAUGGGGAAGAGUUGCAGAUAUUUCAGUAUCUCAGAAUCAGCUGAUUGCAGGAGCUUUUUCCUUUACAAAUGUGUGUGUCUAUGUAGUAGAUUUGAAAAGGGUACAGCCAUUUGGAGCUCCUCCAGUUAGUCCAACUAAAUCUUGUGCACCAUAUACUACUACUACUUCACCUGGCAACCACAUUAGAAAGAGCUUCAUUAAAGGGCAAACAGCAGGUGAUCAGACUUUGUCACUGCAGGUACUGACAGGUGAAGACUCGGAUAACCUUAUUUCCCAGUCUGACUCUGGUGAUGAUCCUCAGUCCUGUGCUGACAUAAAGGAACAUAGCUACUACAACGAAAUUUUUCAUCCAGCUAGGGAGAUAUGUCGAACUCCUCCCAAAACAAAACCUUUUCCAGCUCCACCAGAAGAUCUUCUUAGUAACAGUAGCUCACAAUUUGGAAUAAUCAAACCUUCAGAGAAGGCUACACCUACUCUUUUCACAGCACUGCCAGAGAAUUCUUUCAAUCCUAUUGUAGAAAGGUGUGAAAAAAUAUCAUCUUCUUCCACUUUGGUUAAUAACACUUUGUCUUCUCCUGGUCUCAAUACAUCGUACACCAAAAUUAUGGACUUUAACUCUCUAAAGUGUAGCCCUCUGCAGCAUUCUGUAGAUACACCAUUAACAAAUCAUGUUCAACCAUUGAAAAAACCCAUGAACAUAGUUAGCAAAACCAUGUGGAAUUCAGAACCCUCCUCUGUGUCCAUAGUCAGACCUGUGCCUAUAGUACCUGAGAAAGAUGUCCAACUACGAAAGUCGGUAGCCUUUCCUGAGCAGACGUAUGGAACAACUCCUGGCUUUUCAGAUUUUAACACUCUAUUCCCAGACAAUCAACCACACAGAGGUCCAGGAAAUUAUGUAGAAUUUGUACCAGAUCAACGGGACCAUCCAGUAGGACUAGAGUUAGAAGAUUUCCUACCUAGACAUUUACAGAAUAGUCUUCGAAUUGGAAGUCAACCUCAGCCAGAAAUGUCAGAGGCAGAAGCCAUGUCUUCUAUCUUCAAGGGCCACCAGUCAAUGAUCACAGUUUUCCAACAUCGACGCAAAAAUCUUCAGAUUGUUUUAGCUCAGUGGACUACAAAGGAACCACAGUUUUUAUUGCAUUUAGACUGCGUUAGAUGCUGCAAUCAACAUGAAUGAUAUGGCUCUUAUAGUGGACAUGCUGAACAUCAUCUGUUUAAGGGCGCAACUCUGGAGUCUGGAUAUUUGUCAGCUACUGCUGCCUACUAUUUUUGAGUUGUUACAGAGUAAAUUUGAAUCGUAUAUGUCAGUGGGAUGCAACAGUUUAAAGCUGAUCCUGAAAAAUUUUGCAACUGUGAUAAAAACC
This 2725-nucleotide unclassified non-coding RNA is filed under the name Limulus polyphemus (Atlantic horseshoe crab). RNAcentral describes it as "katanin p80 WD40 repeat-containing subunit B1-like, transcript variant X3". The record is from RNAcentral. Lineage: Eukaryota; Metazoa; Arthropoda; Merostomata; Xiphosura; Limulidae.